UACAGAGGGUGCGAGCGUUGUCCGGAAUCAUUGGGCGUAAAGAGCUCGUAGGCGGCCGGUUGCGUCUGCUGUGAAAUCCCGGGGCUUAACCCCGGGCGUGCAGUGGAUACGGGCUGGCUGGAGGCAGGCAGGGGAGAAUGGAAUUCCCGGUGUAGCGGUGAAAUGCGCAGAUAUCGGGAGGAACACCGGUGGCGAAGGCGGUUCUCUGGGCCUGUGCUGACGCUGAGGAGCGAAAGCGUGGGGAGCGAACAGG
Molecule: ribosomal RNA, 253 nt
Filed under: uncultured bacterium
Lineage: Bacteria
Description: partial 16S ribosomal RNA
Rfam family: Bacterial small subunit ribosomal RNA
Source: RNAcentral